This 895-nucleotide ribosomal RNA is filed under the name uncultured bacterium. Its description in RNAcentral is "bacterial SSU rRNA". It matches the Rfam family "Bacterial small subunit ribosomal RNA", at positions 8 to 916 of the family's 1533-position model. The record is from RNAcentral.
AGAGUUUGAUCCUGGCUCAGGACGAACGCUGGCGGCGUGCUUAACACAUGCAAGUCGAACGGAAAGGCCCUGCUUGCAGGGUACUCGAGUGGCGAACGGGUGAGUAACACGUGGGUGAUCUGCCCUGCACUUCGGGAUAAGCCUGGGAAACUGGGUCUAAUACCGGAUAGGAGCCAUUUUUAGUGUGAUGGUUGGAAAGUUUUUCGGUGUAGGAUGAGCUCGCGGCCUAUCAGCUUGUUGGUGGGGUAAUGGCCUACCAAGGCGGCGACGGGUAGCCGGCCUGAGAGGGUGGACGGCCACAUUGGGACUGAGAUACGGCCCAGACUCCUACGGGAGGCAGCAGUGGGGAAUAUUGCACAAUGGGCGCAAGCCUGAUGCAGCGACGCCGCGUGGGGGAUGACGGCCUUCGGGUUGUAAACUCCUUUCGCUAGGGACGAAGCUUUUUGUGACGGUACCUAGAUAAGAAGCACCGGCUAACUACGUGCCAGCAGCCGCGGUAAUACGUAGGGUGCGAGCGUUGUCCGGAAUUACUGGGCGUAAAGGGCUCGUAGGUGGUUUGUCGCGUCGUCUGUGAAAUUCCGGGGCUUAACUCCGGGCGUGCAGGCGAUACGGGCAUAACUUGAGUACUGUAGGGGUAACUGGAAUUCCUGGUGUAGCGGUGAAAUGCGCAGAUAUCAGGAGGAACACCGAUGGCGAAGGCAGGUUACUGGGCAGUUACUGACGCUGAGGAGCGAAAGCAUGGGUAGCGAACAGGAUUAGAUACCCUGGUAGUCCAUGCCGUAAACGGUGGGCGCUAGGUGUGAGGGUCUUUUCACGACUUUCGUGCCGUAGCUAACGCAUUAAGCGCCCCGCCUGGGGAGUACGGCCGCAAGCUAAAACUCAAAGGAAUUGACGG